AGUGAACGCUGGCGGUAGGCCUAACACAUGCAAGUCGAACGGCAGCACAGUAAGAGCUUGCUCUUACGGGUGGCGAGUGGCGGACGGGUGAGGAAUACAUCGGAAUCUACUUUUUCGUGGGGGAUAACGUAGGGAAACUUACCCUAAUACCUCAUACGACCUACGGGUGAAAGCAGGGGAUCUUCGGACCUUGCGCGAUUGAAUGAGCCGAUGUCGGAUUAGCUAGUUGGCGGGGUAAAGGCCCACCAAGGCGACGAUCCGUAGCUGGUCUGAGAGGAUGAUCAGCCACACUGGAACUGAGACACGGUCCAGACUCCUACGGGAGGCAGCAGUGGGGAAUUUUGGACAAUGGGCGCAAGCCUGAUCCAGCCAUACCGCGUGGGUGAAGAAGGCCUUCGGGUUGUAAAGCCCUUUUGUUGGGAAAGAAAAGCAGCAGGUUAAUACCCCGCUGUUCUGACGGUACCCAAAGAAUAAGCACCGGCUAACUUCGUG
Molecule: ribosomal RNA, 492 nt
Filed under: uncultured bacterium
Lineage: Bacteria
Description: partial 16S ribosomal RNA
Rfam family: Bacterial small subunit ribosomal RNA
Source: RNAcentral